RNAcentral lists this ribosomal RNA (1444 nucleotides) under Clostridium botulinum. Its description in RNAcentral is "bacterial SSU rRNA". It matches the Rfam family "Bacterial small subunit ribosomal RNA". Lineage: Bacteria; Bacillati; Bacillota; Clostridia; Eubacteriales; Clostridiaceae. The record is from RNAcentral.
AGAGUUUGAUCCUGGCUCAGGACGAACGCUGGCGGCGUGCUUAACACAUGCAAGUCGAGCGAUGAAGCUUCCUUCGGGAAGUGGAUUAGCGGCGGACGGGUGAGUAACACGUGGGUAACCUGCCUCAAAGUGGGGGAUAGCCUUCCGAAAGGAAGAUUAAUACCGCAUAAUAUAAGAGAAUCGCAUGAUUUUCUUAUCAAAGAUUUAUUGCUUUGAGAUGGACCCGCGGCGCAUUAGCUAGUUGGUAAGGUAACGGCUUACCAAGGCAACGAUGCGUAGCCGACCUGAGAGGGUGAUCGGCCACAUUGGAACUGAGACACGGUCCAGACUCCUACGGGAGGCAGCAGUGGGGAAUAUUGCGCAAUGGGGGAAACCCUGACGCAGCAACGCCGCGUGGGUGAUGAAGGUCUUCGGAUUGUAAAGCCCUGUUUUCUAGGACGAUAAUGACGGUACUAGAGGAGGAAGCCACGGCUAACUACGUGCCAGCAGCCGCGGUAAUACGUAGGUGGCGAGCGUUGUCCGGAUUUACUGGGCGUAAAGGGUGCGUAGGCGGAUGUUUAAGUGGGAUGUGAAAUCCCCGGGCUUAACCUGGGGGCUGCAUUCCAAACUGGAUAUCUAGAGUGCAGGAGAGGAAAGCGGAAUUCCUAGUGUAGCGGUGAAAUGCGUAGAGAUUAGGAAGAACACCAGUGGCGAAGGCGGCUUUCUGGACUGUAACUGACGCUGAGGCACGAAAGCGUGGGUAGCAAACAGGAUUAGAUACCCUGGUAGUCCACGCCGUAAACGAUGGAUACUAGGUGUAGGGGGUAUCAACUCCCCCUGUGCCGCAGUUAACACAAUAAGUAUCCCGCCUGGGGAGUACGGUCGCAAGAUUAAAACUCAAAGGAAUUGACGGGGGCCCGCACAAGCAGCGGAGCAUGUGGUUUAAUUCGAAGCAACGCGAAGAACCUUACCUGGACUUGACAUCCCUUGCAUAGCCUAGAGAUAGGUGAAGCCCUUCGGGGCAAGGAGACAGGUGGUGCAUGGUUGUCGUCAGCUCGUGUCGUGAGAUGUUAGGUUAAGUCCUGCAACGAGCGCAACCCUUGUUAUUAGUUGCUACCAUUAAGUUGAGCACUCUAAUGAGACUGCCUGGGUAACCAGGAGGAAGGUGGGGAUGACGUCAAAUCAUCAUGCCCCUUAUGUCCAGGGCUACACACGUGCUACAAUGGUAGGUACAAUAAGACGCAAGACCGUGAGGUGGAGCAAAACUUAUAAAACCUAUCUCAGUUCGGAUUGUAGGCUGCAACUCGCCUACAUGAAGCUGGAGUUGCUAGUAAUCGCGAAUCAGAAUGUCGCGGUGAAUACGUUCCCGGGCCUUGUACACACCGCCCGUCACACCAUGAGAGCUGGUAACACCCGAAGUCCGUGAGGUAACCGUAAGGAACCAGCGGCCGAAGGUGGGAUUAGU